GACGAACGCUAGCGACGUGCCUAAGAAAUGCAAGUCGAGCGGGGUUAGUGGAGCUUGCUCUGCUGACCUAGCGGCGAACGGUCGCGUAACACGUAAGCAACCUGCCCUGAAGUGGGGGAUAGUCCUCCGAAAGGGGGCUUAAUACCGCAUGUGGUCACUUGUUUGCAUAUUCGAGUGACUAAAGCAGUAAUGCGCUUCAGGAUGGGCUUGCGGCCUAUCAGCUAGUUGGUGUGGGUAACGGCUCACCAAGGCGACGACGGGUAGCUGGUCUGAGAGGAUGGUCAGCCGGACUGGGACUGAGACACGGCCCAGACUCCUACGGGAGGCAG
RNAcentral lists this ribosomal RNA (329 nucleotides) under uncultured Armatimonadota bacterium. Its description in RNAcentral is "bacterial SSU rRNA". It matches the Rfam family "Bacterial small subunit ribosomal RNA", at positions 28 to 351 of the family's 1533-position model. Lineage: Bacteria; Bacillati; Armatimonadota. The record is from RNAcentral.